This 456-nucleotide ribosomal RNA is filed under the name Triticum aestivum (bread wheat). Its description in RNAcentral is "partial small subunit ribosomal RNA". Lineage: Eukaryota; Viridiplantae; Streptophyta; Magnoliopsida; Poales; Poaceae. The record is from RNAcentral.
AUGGACCAUUCCAUCCCUUAUUCCCGUGGCUAUGCAUCGGAUUCAGAUGACGAAGGUCCCGAUGAACAAGUUGAUGAGGAGGGGUUCACGGUGAAGGAGGCCAAAGCUUUCGAGAAGGUAUUCGGUCGGGAUCAUCGGACUACAUUGUUCAAGGAUGUUAGUCUCACGGAUGAAGCCGUGGUAGAUGGUGGCCAAGGUAUAUCUCUUGGGUUUAGGCCAAGAUUUCACUGUGAUUUGGAUGACGACAAGAAUGGGAUUGCUAAAGGGUCUAAGUUCAAAACCUUCUUGGAAUUAAAGAUGUGGCUCGAUAACUACUCGGUUACGCAUUAUCGUCCACACAAGGUGGUGAACUCGGACGUCAACGUGUGCUACACGGUUGCAUGUGCAUGUGAAGAUGAAAAUGUCCGUGGAUUAUGCAUGCAAGACCAUGGAAAGGAGGUCCCACUUGGCACGUAG